Molecule: small RNA, 574 nt
Filed under: Pan troglodytes (chimpanzee)
Lineage: Eukaryota; Metazoa; Chordata; Mammalia; Primates; Hominidae
Description: retained intron
Source: RNAcentral
GAACCUGCCGUGUCUGCUACGGCACCGCAGGGCUGCAGAAACCCGGGGGCCAAGGGCGGGCUGCUUGCCGCUAUGGCUGGCAGUCAGGACAUAUUCGAUGCCAUCGUGAUGGCGGAUGAGAGGUUUCAUGGGGAAGGGUAUCGGGAAGGCUAUGAAGAAGGCAGUAGUUUGGGUGUGAUGGAGGGAAGGCAGCAUGGCACGCUGCAUGGAGCCAAAAUCGGGUCUGAGGUAAGUGGGAACCCCCAUCUGGAGAUGAAGCCUCUUCAUUUACAAUUUAUAAUUUAUUUCGAUAUUCAGUGUGAUGGAGUAAGAAUUGUCAGGCCUUUUAAAAUCACAGUGCCGGAUGGGCGCUGUGACUCACACCUGUAAUCCCAGCACUUUGGGAGUCUGAGGUGGGCGGAUCGCCUUGAGGUCAGGAGUUGGAGACCAGCCUGACCGACAUGGUGAAACACUGUCUCUACUGAAAAUACUGAAUUAGCUGGGCAUGGUGGUUUAUGCCUGUAAUCCCAGCCACUUGGGAGGCUGAGGUAUGAGACUCGCUUGAACCUGGGAGGCGGAGGUUGUGGUGAGCCGG